This 440-nucleotide long non-coding RNA is filed under the name Gallus gallus (chicken). The record is from RNAcentral. Lineage: Eukaryota; Metazoa; Chordata; Aves; Galliformes; Phasianidae.
GCAUUGAGUUGGGUGGGAGCGCAGCAGGGUUUCGGCACAGUCUCUGGGUUUAUAAAGUGAACCAGUGUCUGCACAAUGGCAUGAUUUGUAGCAUUCAUGUAUGAAUUCAAUGGGAAAGCGCAUUCUCCUUCACAGUAAUACGCAGCAUAGCCCUCUGGAGCGAUGAUCCAGUCCUGCCACCCCAGGUCCCUGAAGCUGACAUAGAGCUCGUGCUUCUUGCAGGCUUGGCGCUGGUCGCUGCUGCUGUUCUCUGCGAUGUUUGACACCCGGAAGGCUUCCUGGUUCUUUGGCGUUUUGGAUCGAUUCUGGCUCCUCUGCUUCCCUCCUGUGGAGCGGAUGCUGCGGAGAUGAACCUCGGUGGCUUUGAAGAAGGCGACCGUGAAGGGCUGCUUGUUUUGUGGGCCGUGCCUCCCAAUGAGCCCUGCCAGCUUGGGGUUGAU